AUUCAGCUGACGAGUCUCAAAUAGGACGAAGCCUGCGUUCUGGAU
Molecule: non-coding RNA, 45 nt
Organism: Schistosoma mattheei
Lineage: Eukaryota; Metazoa; Platyhelminthes; Trematoda; Strigeidida; Schistosomatidae
Source: Rfam